RNAcentral lists this ribosomal RNA (446 nucleotides) under uncultured bacterium. Its description in RNAcentral is "partial 16S ribosomal RNA". It matches the Rfam family "Bacterial small subunit ribosomal RNA", at positions 354 to 796 of the family's 1533-position model. The record is from RNAcentral.
GUGAGGAAUAUUGGACAAUGGGCGCAAGCCUGAUCCAGCCAUGCCGCGUGCAGGAAGACGCAUCUAUGGUGUGUAAACUGCUUUUGUACGGGAAGAAACACUCCCUCGUGAGGGAGCUUGACGGUACCGUAAGAAUAAGGAUCGGCUAACUCCGUGCCAGCAGCCGCGGUAAAUACGGAGGAUCCAAGCGUUAUCCGGAAUCAUUGGGUUUAAAGGGUCCGUAGGCGGUUUAAUAAGUCAGUGGUGAAAGCCCAUCGCUCAACGAUGGAACGGACAUUGAUACUGUUAGACUUGAAUUACAAGGAAGUAACUAGAAUAUGUAGUGUAGCGGUGAAAUGCUUAGAUAUUACAUGGAAUACCAAUUGCGAAGGCAGGUUACUACUUGUGGAUUGACGCUGAUGGACGAAAGCGUGGGGAGCGAACAGGAUUAGAAACCCUAGUAGUCC